Molecule: ribosomal RNA, 235 nt
Filed under: uncultured bacterium
Lineage: Bacteria
Description: partial 16S ribosomal RNA
Rfam family: Bacterial small subunit ribosomal RNA
Source: RNAcentral
GAUCCUGCUCAGGAUGAACGCUAGCUACAGGCUUAACACAUGCAAGUCGAGGGGCAGCAUGUUGGUUGCUUGCAACCGAUGAUGGCGACCGGCGCACGGGUGAGUAACGCGUAUCCAACCUACCCUUGUCCAUCGGAUAACCCGUCGAAAGGCGGCCUAACACGAUAUGCGGUUCACCGCAGGCAUCUAACGUUAACGAAAUGUGAAGGAGAAGGAUGGGGAUGCGUCUGAUUAG